This 497-nucleotide ribosomal RNA is filed under the name uncultured bacterium. RNAcentral's name for it is "partial 16S ribosomal RNA". It matches the Rfam family "Bacterial small subunit ribosomal RNA", at positions 28 to 507 of the family's 1533-position model. The record is from RNAcentral.
GAUGAACGCUGGCGGCGUGCCUAAUACAUGCAAGUCGAGCGAACAGACGAGGAGCUUGCUCCUCUGACGUUAGCGGCGGACGGGUGAGUAACACGUGGAUAACCUACCUAUAAGACUGGGAUAACUUCGGGAAACCGGAGCUAAUACCGGAUAAUAUAUUGAACCGCAUGGUUCAAUAGUGAAAGACGGUUUUGCUGUCACUUAUAGAUGGAUCCGCGCCGCGUUAGCUAGUUGGUACGGUAACGGCUUACCAAGGCAACAUUGGGUAGCCGACCCAGGGGGGGGUACGUGCCCACUGGGAGUGGAGCAAGGGCCCAACUGCGACUGGGAGACGGAUCAGGGUAAUUUGCGCGAUAGGGGGAAAGCUGGAGGAGCAACGGGCGGGAGGGUGACGAGGGUCUGCGGUGUGUAAACCUUUGUUAUACGGGAAGAAAAAUUUUUUAAGAAAAGAAGAAGCAUUGACGGUACCUUAGGAAAAAGCCCCGGCUAACUCUGUG